CUAGACGUGAACGAUGCUUACUGUAUCGAUUCACGGUAAGUACCUUGAUCAAGGCUCCUGCAGGUGGAGGUGCGAUUCUAAGGUGUUAUCCACCUUCAAGGUGAGCGCUCUAACCACAACGCCACCUGCCGGCCCGACUUUUUUAAGUUUCACACGCAGCUCUAAAACCGCGCAGUAUAAAUAAACGAGCCCGGGCGCGAAUUCGUGCUCUCAUACCGUGCGCGUCCUCAUGCUGCGCGCGCCCUCGCCAAAGCGUUCGGUUGCCAGGAUACCAACAAAGUUAUCGGAGAUGGUAGUUGUCCAGCAGCUGACUUCGGCGGCCUGCUAACGUUUCCAAUGAGAGUUCGGGAUGGGCUGCCGCGCCCUCGAGCUCGUCGACGAGCCGCACUGCCUCCAGGUCGCGUGCCCGCAUCCCUGUUGCUGGGAGACGGAGCGGCGCGUCGUCAGCGGCACCCAGCGCUACGUCAAGGCCGGAGCGCGCGCCGGGCCCGGAGAGCGAUCGCGAGAGGAGCGUCCCACCCUCAGCGUUGUAAAUGCCUGCGAGUGGGUGGAACCCAGGCACCCCCCCAGGAGCGGCGUGCUGCGUAAGGGUGCGCUGAGAGGACACAGCCUCCCGGACACCCCCGCACAGGGCCCCAGUGCGGCUGCCGCCGGGUCCCCAAAAAUAACCUCCGGCCCUCAGAGUGCUGUGGCUGUGGACAAGAAGGAUUGCAAGGCUGCAAAGCUCAGCCAGGCCCAGAUCGGCCCCCUCCAUAGCCGCCGCGAACCCAGCUCUGUGAUGAUGUGGGUACCCAACCCCCAGUACAGCCCGCACCCUUCCCCCCAACACAGGCCAAAGACGCCUCACGUAGCUAUUGCACAGCUCUCCUACAGCUUGCUCCCCCAGUUGACUGUGACCCCUGGAAUGGACAAGAAGAAGUCGAAAGCUGGGAGGCAGAAGGUGCGAUUCCAGCUGCACAGCUCGCCAGACGCGUCCUUCCGUGGUUCUGGGGGUGCCGCGUUGGACGGAGCUGGCGUGAACGGGCUAGCCAAGGACUCCGCCUCACCCGGAGAGGUAGGGGGCGCUAGCAAGCCGGUCUGGGAGAACCAGCAGACGGCGGCAACGGCAAAAGCCCGACGCGAGUUCGUGGAGAACAAGACCGCCGUCUUCCACAGCGUGAGGGACUGGAGGCUGAGAGCGUCCCCCCCCCAACACGCCUCAGCACCCCAGAACAAACCAGGCAGCAAGAAGCCCAGGGGCAGCGCUGACCGGCAGAGCAACCCCUGGAACAGGUACAACGCCUCUGGCGGACACCCCAGGGAGAGACCCGCUGUCCCGGCGAGGGUAGCGUUGGGCAACGGGACCCCGAAGGCCUCACAGGGGCCCUCCGGCGAGAGGCGCGAACACCCCCCAGGCCACUCCCCCCAGCGGUCAAUCGCGGCUCGGGCUGAAGCGGUGACAUCGCGCCCCAACGCCGCUUUCGGCCUUUCGUGAGAAAGCCGACGCGCUCGUUUCCGGGCAGCGCGACGACGGCGGCCUCUUAGUGGCGACGCUUAAUUACGAGUGCUGUUUGGUGCCAAGAACAAUGCAGAGGAUCGGUGCGAAAUGUGGCUUCUGCAGCUCGGGCGUCGACUCCGGUCCAAAGCGCCCAGGGAUAAUUUCACGUGUUUACAUUGCCUUUGAUGUGCGUAUUUCAUGGAGUGCGCAGAUUUUCGCCGAGAUUAUUUUCUUCAUUUUUCCAUGCUCGUAAUUUCAGGGUGUGCGUCAGUAUAGAGCUCCUUUUUCCUGUUUCUGACUUUGCCAGUAUAUUGUACAGAUCCAAAUGCACAGUAUUUUUUUAAAAACCAAAGUACAUUUUCAGAGCUUUUUCAUUUUUUUUAACCAACCAAUACAGACCGUUCUAUUAAGGUAAACAUGUCCAUUUAUUUUAUUCUUUGAAACCAAAAGGCACAAUAUUAAAGCUCACAAAGGAAGCCAGCUGAUACUGCACAGAGUUGUGUUGUGACAUUUAUUCAUUUAGCAGAUGCUUUGUUUAAGUGACUUUCAGUAUCAAGCUACUUACAAUUACUUAAUAAUUUAUAUAGCUGGGUAAUUUUACUCAAGCAAUUUAGGAUAACUGCCUUGCUUAAGGGAACUGCAGCUGGGAUUCAAACCUGCAGCAUUUGAAUCCAAAGGCAAUAGCUCUUACCACUACACUACUAACUGUCCCCAUUGUCUUAUACCAGAGGAGCUCUGAGAAUAAGUGACACAUGCAUUACAUAUUUAUACAUAAAUUAAUAUAUAUAUAUAAAUCAGUAUUUUACAUUGCAGGCGUCAGUGAUGUUAUUGCUGUAUGAUAUAAGGAAAAGAAUGCUUUGUGAAACUGGGUUGUGACAACAUUCAGAAAAAAAGAAUUUGUAAGUUAAAACGAAUGCAUUAUAGAACAAAAAGUUGUAUUAAUAUUUGCGUGUUGGAAUUAAAAUUAAAACUGUAGUUGGGCUCAGUUUUUAUUACU
Scleropages formosus (Asian bonytongue) is the source of this 2474-nucleotide long non-coding RNA. The record is from Ensembl. Lineage: Eukaryota; Metazoa; Chordata; Actinopteri; Osteoglossiformes; Osteoglossidae.